GGGUUGUAGCUCAGUUGGUAGAGCGCUGCGUUCGCAAUGCAGAGGUCGUGAGUUCGAAUCUCAUCAGCUCC
This 71-nucleotide transfer RNA is filed under the name bovine gut metagenome. It matches the Rfam family "tRNA". From Rfam's summary of the family: Transfer RNA (tRNA) molecules are approximately 80 nucleotides in length. Their secondary structure includes four short double-helical elements and three loops (D, anti-codon, and T loops). Further hydrogen bonds mediate the characteristic L-shaped molecular structure. tRNAs have two regions of fundamental functional importance: the anti-codon, which is responsible for specific mRNA codon recognition, and the 3' end, to which the tRNAs corresponding amino acid is attached (by aminoacyl-tRNA synthetases). tRNAs cope with the degeneracy of the genetic code in two manners: having more than one tRNA (with a specific anti-codon) for a particular amino acid; and 'wobble' base-pairing, i.e. permitting non-standard base-pairing at the 3rd anti-codon position. RNAcentral also lists the same sequence under 1 other name. The record is from RNAcentral.